AUGGCGGAGGCGGAGGCGGAAGUGGACUCCUACAUUAAUUAUAUGUUGAUGGAGAGGAGGGAGGUGAUGAGGGCUCAGGAGGAGGCGGAGAGGAGGAUGAGAGGAGGCCCCGGCCGCAAAAUGAAGAAACGGAAGACGGAGACGGGAAAGAGCUCAAAGAAGGCGGCGCCCGCGGUUCCGGUGGAGAUGAGCGUCAGCGAGGUGGGGAGCAGCCCAGCGGAAUCUGAAGAUCUGGCGAGGACAAGGGAGAUUGUGGAAGCAGCCAUGGCCAAGAUUCUGGCGCGGAUGAAGGGGAUCGUCAUCAAGGAGCCGGCCAAGACGAUGACAGAGGAGGACGUCGCGGCGGCGGCCGUGUACAGAGCCAAGGCGGAGGAGGCGCGCAGGAACGAGGACCGGCCGGAAGAGUCCAGCGCCCUCCGGAAGUGGAUCGCCACGGGAGACCCCGAGGCCGUCAAGUGCCGCAAGGAGUGGAUCGCGGAAGACAUGGAGGCCCUGAGGCUCAAGGACAUGGAUCCCGACGAGGAUACCUCCGACUGGCGUGCCUUCGAGGCCAAGGAGUUCCGCGAGUUCUGGGAAUACCUUUAUCCCAAAUCCUUUGGUAAAUUCGAGGACAACACGCGUAUCCCAUCCAUGCUUUACACGGACAACAAGUCGUCAGGUGGCACAGCCCACCCCAUAAGAACUCUGCAGGUCUUUUCAGUCAAAGUUGCGGGACUACAAGAUGGAGUGCACUGGCCGCUGCAAGUGUUUGGCGUCGUUGCUGCACGAGAUUGUUUGGAUCAUAAUCGCAAUGUUAUCUUCCAGCGCCAAAGGGAUAACUGCCAAAUGAUCCACAAGGAGAAUCCGUAUCUGACACUGACAGGUCCUAGCCGUGCUAUUGUGGUGGUGGAUCCUGUGUGGUUUGAGGUUGCAUUGAAAGUGAAGGGCGCCACUGAAUCUGAGGAUAAAGAGUUGAGCUAUCACGUCGAUCCUUAUUAUAUUUCCGGCUCAAUGAAUUCCUAUGUGUUCAAUCGCGUCAGGACUAGCAGGCUCAGCACAAUGGAGUUGACAUUGGGUGACAUGGUUCACUCCGUGGAGGCCACCAUCAGUGUGAAAGUGGUUGGCGGGGAGUGGCCACAAGGUUUCAGAGGUGUAUUUACCGCCACUACCGCCAGCAUAGACGACGAGAAAAUCGUGUUGCUUGGUUUCGGAGACGACAAAUUGCCUGUUGCAGCUGAUGGCUCGAUACAGCUCUCACGAAGUGUUGUGUCUGUCGAAGACGACGGGCAGCUGAGAGUCUCUGUCAUGGCGCGUCACCUGGUGGAUCGAUCUGUCAGGCGGGCUUCUGGAGUACUCGCAGCUAAGACAUCCUCCAGAAGCUAUGCUAAACUUGAAGUUUUCUCUUGUAAGAUGGAAGUCACUGUCGCCUGGUCUCUUCUCCCGUACUGGCCACAUUACCGUGACAUGCCGUGUCCUAGCAUAUGA
This 1464-nucleotide ribosomal RNA is filed under the name Triticum aestivum (bread wheat). RNAcentral's name for it is "partial small subunit ribosomal RNA". The record is from RNAcentral. Lineage: Eukaryota; Viridiplantae; Streptophyta; Magnoliopsida; Poales; Poaceae.